GCUUUAGAAAAUAAAUAUUGAAUAUAAUAGAACUAAUAUCUUAGCUUACUAUUGCUAAGAAAGUUAGUCUGAAAAGAAUAAAUCUUCGCCAUCACCAGGGGACUUUUUAGUCCACAGUUAGUCGUUUUACCCCGCCAUCUGGAUGCCUUCACAUUCAGAUGGUCGUAA
This 168-nucleotide small RNA is filed under the name Yersinia aldovae ATCC 35236. Its description in RNAcentral is "Yersinia YenS sRNA". It matches the Rfam family "Yersinia YenS sRNA". The record is from Rfam by way of RNAcentral. Lineage: Bacteria; Pseudomonadati; Pseudomonadota; Gammaproteobacteria; Enterobacterales; Yersiniaceae.